Molecule: ribosomal RNA, 358 nt
Filed under: uncultured Thermus sp.
Lineage: Bacteria; Thermotogati; Deinococcota; Deinococci; Thermales; Thermaceae
Description: bacterial SSU rRNA
Rfam family: Bacterial small subunit ribosomal RNA
Source: RNAcentral
AGCCCUAGCACAGGUGCUGCAUGGCCGUCGUCAGCUCGUGCCGUGAGGUGUUGGGUUAAGUCCCGCAACGAGCGCAACCCCCGCCGUUAGUUGCCAGCGGUUCGACCGGGCACUCUAACGGGACUGCCCGCGAAAGCGGGAGGAAGGAGGGGACGACGUCUGGUCAGCAUGGCCCUUACGGCCUGGGCGACACACGUGCUACAAUGCCCACUACAAAGCGAGGCCACCCGGCAACGGGGAGCUAAUCGCAAAAAGGUGGGCCCAGUUCGGAUUGGGGUCUGCAACCCGACCCCAUGAAGCCGGAAUCGCUAGUAAUCGCGGAUCAGCCAUGCCCGCGGUCGAAUACGUUCCGGGCCUU